Long non-coding RNA from Poecile atricapillus (Black-capped chickadee), 898 nucleotides. RefSeq lists it as uncharacterized. The transcript has 3 exons. The record is from RefSeq and is a predicted model, not a curated record. NCBI's taxonomy places the organism in Eukaryota, Metazoa, Chordata, Aves, Passeriformes, Paridae.
CUUUUCCUUUGCAGAUAAGGACUUGAAAACUGCCUUUGCAGUCUCUCCUGCGCCGCGCAGAGACAUUUCUGCAGCCUGCGAUUUCUCUUGGUUUAAGCAGUAUUUAUCAAAUGGAAACAUAUGUAUACAGUAGGGAUUUUUCCCUUGACUGCAAAGAUGCAGCUGUCUUGCCAAACUCACCUGGUGGAGUUUGAAGAAGGGUACAAGGCAAGAAAAAAUAAGUUUCCAAAGGUGUUCACUGAAAAACAGGAGCUCAUUGGACAGCAUAAGUCCUUAGGAGCAGUGUUUCUGAUAAACUCAAGAGGAGCUUAGUCUAGGUGCUGUUGAUCAAGGCUGAGGCCUAAUGAGCAUUUCUGAGACCACAGAGCAUCCCAAGGAGGAAAGGAGGGAAUGCACCACCACAAGGAGGAAUUCUUUAUAAUGAUCAUCAAACAUUUUGCACUUCUGACUGGUCCAAAUCACAUUGUGUAUCAUACCACCCACAGAGCCAUGCAGUUUUUGCUAUGAAAUAAAAAAUGGAGAAGAGUGAACUGGUACUUUCAACCACUACUUUCACACACAAAUGGGCCUGAAAACUAAUGUUCUAUAGUGGCUCCAGUUAUUGCAUUCAAGAAAAGACAUACAGGAUUUGACAACCACCCAAACACCUGGAAGCACUUGAAGCAUGUGAUAUUCAGGUGUCCCAUGCUCAGCUCACCAUAGAAUUGCUUUCUAUCACCUGCACUUUCAUUAAAAAUUGUAGUAAUUGCAAAAUAUAAUAUGCAAAUGUAAUAUGUAAUUGUAUUUGUAAUAAGUAAUAUAUAAUAUGAAAUAUGUAACAUGUAAUUAGUAAUUGUAAAAAUUGUAAUAUGUAAUAUGUAAAUGCAAAAUGUAAUAAUUGUAAAAUGUAGUAUUUUCA